This 463-nucleotide ribosomal RNA is filed under the name uncultured bacterium. RNAcentral describes it as "bacterial SSU rRNA". It matches the Rfam family "Bacterial small subunit ribosomal RNA", at positions 30 to 481 of the family's 1533-position model. The record is from RNAcentral.
AUUGAACGCUGGCGGAAUGCUUUACACAUGCAAGUCGAGCGGCAGCGCGGGGGCAACCCUGGCGGCGAGCGGCGAACGGGUGAGUAACAUAUCGGAACGUACCCCGUCGUGGGGGAUAACACAGCGAAAGCUGUGCUAAUACCGCAUACGACCUGAGGGUGAAAGCGGGGGAUCGCAAGACCUCGCGCGAUGGGAGCGGCCGAUAUCGGAUUAGCUUGUUGGUGAGGUAAAGGCUCACCAAGGCGACGAUCCGUAGCUGGUCUGAGAGGACGACCAGCCACACUGGAACUGAGACACGGUCCAGACUCCUACGGGAGGCAGCAGUGGGGAAUUUUGGACAAUGGGGGCAACCCUGAUCCAGCCAUUCCGCGUGAGUGAAGAAGGCCUUCGGUCUGUAAGACUCUUUUGUGUAGGGUAAGGAAAUAGACGCGUGAGGAAAUAGCUCGCGUCUUGACGGUACCUC